This 76-nucleotide transfer RNA is filed under the name Sphaerodactylus townsendi. RNAcentral describes it as "tRNA-Ala". Lineage: Eukaryota; Metazoa; Chordata; Lepidosauria; Squamata; Sphaerodactylidae. The record is from RNAcentral.
GCACACACCCAUGGCUCAGCAGUAGAACAUCUGCUUUGCAUGCAAAAAUUCCCAGGUUCAAUUCCUGGCAACUCCA